GAUGAACGCUGGCGGCGUGCCUAAUACAUGCAAGUCGAGCGAACAGACGAGGAGCUUGCUCCUCUGAUGUUAGCGGCGGACGGGUGAGUAACACGUAGGUAGCCUACCUAUAAGACUGGGAUAACUUCGGGAAACCGGAGCUAAUACCGGAUAAUAUUUCGAACCGCAUGGUUCGAUAGUGAAAGAUGGCUUUGCUAUCACUUAUAGAUGGACCUGCGCCGUAUUAGCUAGUUGUUAAGGUAACGGCUUACCAAGGCAACGAUACGUAGCCGACCUGAGAGGGUGAUCGGCCCCACUGGAUCUUCCACACGGUCCAGCUUCCUACGGGAGGCAGCGGUACGGAAUCUUCCGCCAUGUGCGAAAGCCUGACGGAGCAACGCCGCCUGAGUGCUGAAGGGCUUCCGAUCCUAAAACUCUGUUAUUAGGGAAGUACAACCCUCUAAUUAACCUUGCACGUCUUGACGGCCCCUACCCAGAAACCCACGGCUCACUACGUG
RNAcentral lists this ribosomal RNA (497 nucleotides) under uncultured bacterium. RNAcentral describes it as "partial 16S ribosomal RNA". It matches the Rfam family "Bacterial small subunit ribosomal RNA", at positions 28 to 507 of the family's 1533-position model. The record is from RNAcentral.